CCGUUCCGCUCCUGCAGCCGGGGGACUGAAGGGGAGGAGCGCGGAGUCCCUCGUUCGGCCCAGCGGCGCGAGCGGCUCGGCUCCGCGUGGGGAACGUUAACGGCUGGUUUGGGUUUAGCGGAGCGAAGGGCUGUCGGCGAGCGGCCUGUGCACAGCGCGGCUGCCAGCCUCUCGGCGUUCCCUCUAGCUGGGGUCCUGGGAGGAGCUGCCCUGGCACCAUAACCCCUCGCCCCCCGUCUUCCCUUGGCCCUGCUUCCUUCAUCCCGUCUGCUUUUCUAUGCCUCAUUGCAGAGGUUUCCCUUGUCUCUCAGGGUGGUCCCACUGUCUGGGCUGACGGGCUUCAUUAAUCCCCUACGCCGGGCCUCUGCGCCUGCGAGACCAGGGGCCGGGGUGCCUCUCGCAACAAGCGCUCGUGAUGGAGGCGCCAUCUCGCUCCAGACCCCUCUACCCCGCCUGAAAGCCCAAGUACAGGCGCGCGCGGGCCUCUCCGUGCCUCCAACUUGGACAGACCUGCCUAACCAGCGGUGAGUGGCAAACCAGGGGAGACUGACCGCGCUUGGGAGGGCUGCCUGCGCCGGGCUCCACGCACCGAACCGCUGCAGAGCUGAGCUCCCCGGCAAGCGGCAGGUAGAGGCUCUGUUGUGCUGCUGUUGCUUCUGUGUACAGCUAGAUAACUUACAGAUAGGAAAAGGAAAAGAAGAGAGACUAAUGCAACUGGAAACUGCUAGGUCCUGAGCGUGGCUUUUAAUGGACUUGUCUACAAUUGUCUAGGCGGAGUGGAAGAGCUUGAGGGCGGCAAGGGAAAGUAACGAUCAGUUAAAGCACAUGUAAAAAGAGAAAAGUGCGGGGUGGGAGGCGGCGUAGAAUAAAUGAAACCCUUAGAAGUCUUUAAAAAUUUCAAAAUACAUAUCAGAUGUUAAGGGUCUUCCCCCUGCAAUUAGCAGUAUAUGACAGUGUACCAGAUUUCAAGAUGCAAAAAACCAUAGAAACUAAUAAAGAAAAGGAGGACUUGUGGCACCUUAGAGACUAACAAAUUUAUUUGAGCAUAAGCUUUCGUGAGCUCACUUCAUCGGAUGCAUCUGAUGAAGUGAGCUGUAGCUCAGGAAAGCUUAUGCUCAGAUAAAUUUGUUAGUCUCUAAGAUGCCACAAGUCCUCCUUUUCUUUUUGCGAAUACAGACUAACAGGGCUGCUACUCUGAAACAUAGAAACUAAUGUUGUUAGUCAAUUUAACAAGCAUCAGUAUUCUAUUUAAAUAUAAAUUAGCUGAUGUGGUGAUAUCUAUGUGAUAACCUGCAUUUAACAUGGAACUUUGCUUUCUCACCUGCACUCAGGCCACAAAAUACCUGCUGCUAUUUCUAACAUUCCAGAACUCUGAGUAACUUCCAAGGGCUGCCAUUUUCCUCCAAAAUCAACCUAUCACAAAAUGUUUCCUCCUUUUCCCCUGGAAAUAAAAAUUUCUCUCACAGUUCACACCAGUCUGUAGUAAAGGAUGGGCCAUAUUCAGUCCUGGAAUGCUGAUAGCUGCCUCGUAUGGAACAGAAGAGCUCUGUGUAGCUCAAAAGCGUGUAUCUUUCACCAACAGAAGUCGGUCCAAUAAAAUAUAUUACCUCACCCAUCUUGUGUCUCUAAUAUCCUGGGGCCAACCUGGCAACAAAAACACGGCAAACAGGUUUUUCAUGAAAUUUACAGACUACUUGAGCAUAAUUGACGAUGCCAUCAGAACCUCCUCAAUGGAAUUAUAUCAUCAUUAUGCAUAUUUGGGGUACAUUGUUCCUCAUAUUAAUAGUAGUCUUGCUAAUAACAUUUGUAAUUAGUAUGUAUUCAGUUACUAGUAAAUAAAUGUUCGAAUGCAUACUAAUUACAAAGCCUAUUAAUUAUAAGUCCUAGCAUUGUAUUUGCUUUUGACUCUUAUUUCUAAAUUUGCUAAAUAUUUUUAUUUAUUGAUUUGAUGCUUGAAAUGAGCCCUUUUUUUGUUUUGUUUUUGUUUUGGUCCGUUUACACAUUUGAUGUCAAAUUCUGAAUUCAGGCUGUUUCUAUGCCCCCAAAAUGUGGUGAAGGAGAACUAUGGGAUGCAACAGUUGUAACUCAAUUCGAGCUCCCCCAAAAAACUUCAAAGUCAACUUUUCUCAAGCCUGUGCAUUGAGGUCUGAACCAGAGUUGUGGGACAAAAGGUAUUUCCACACAUUGCUCAGACUCUGCAACUUCUGUGCACACUCAGCAAUGUGGGUUACUUAUGUUCCUUGCACAACUAAUCUACAUGGACAACUGAGUACUCCUGGCCUGCCCAAAGCAAUGAUAGAAAUUUAAUACAGGCAGUGUUGCCAAUUCACACGAUUUUAUCAUAUGUCUUCUUAUAUUUGGUACUAUUCUAAAAUCUCCAGCUCCUGGAAUAAUUUGAUUACAUGAGAAUCUCAGCCUUCAAUUAAAAUAAAUAAAUAGAAAUCUAGCCCUCAUAAUUGUGGAGAAUAGUUUGAAAACAUGAUAUAUAGAGAAAAAUAUAAAGAAUCCAAAAAUAAUUUUUAAAAUCAGAUGAUUUUAAAGCCAAUAGUUAUAUUUGACACUGGCUUACGAUUUUUCAACUUGAGGUUGACGUCACUUUUACCCUAAAAUGGGCUCAAAUUAAUAUAGUAAAGAGAGGAAGACUUUGGUACUUUAAUCAAUAGACAAUUUUUCUGGGAAUCUCUUUAUUAAAUACCCUUUUAGAAAAGGACUUUCCCCAGUCCUCAAGUAUUUUUCAUUAUAAGAACUUUCACUGGUACACCAUCCCAGAGAGAAGAUUUAAUUACUUUUCAUCUUUGGAGAUUUGGGGUAAAAUCCUGGCCUCAGUGAAUUAUAAAUUAGAAUUAGCCUGCUUUUCUAACAGAAUGCAAAUAAUAUCAUAGAUUCCAGUAAGGUUUUGUUAUAAGGAUCAUAGUAUAAGUUUAUUUUACCCUAAACAUUUUAAUCAGGUCACGCCAGCCAAAUAUAUUUUUCACGAAAUCCACAGAAUUUAAGAAUCGGAGAAGAACUGAUCUCAAAGUAGCAGUAUUAGUCAAAAGAGAAGUAAAAAGCAGUAACAACUUCAGCACUAAAGUUAGCAGAGAGAAAAUGUGUGUUUGUGACAGUUUUGUUAACGUAACAGUAUAAAUUGAGACAUACAGAUAGAAAAAUGAGGUUAGUUGAGUGGAUGGUAGGUUUGAGCAACUAGCAAAAGUGGCCAAACUGAGGGCUGCCGGUUAAUACUGUUACCUGUCUAAAUAUACUUAGAAAUUUCAUUGAAACUUAAAAAAAAAAUCUUACUAAUUUUAAGAAAAAGAAUCAUGGUUAAAAAUCAGAUUAAAGGGGGGAAGCCAUAAACCUCAAGUUAAAGUGUACUGAUUAGAAGCCCAAUCCUAGAGCUACAGCCCCCAUUACUCAUUGCAGCAGCCCAGCACCUCUCAGGGUCAGGCUACAGACCACAUGACUAAGCUAGACCAAAGCAAAGAAAACAAGACCUUCUCCAUGUUGUGCAUACAAGUCAUGCAGUUCUAUCUUUUAUUCACUAGAGGUGCCUCGUUGCCCCCCCUUUUUUUUUUCUUGUAUUCAUUACAAGGAAGUAAAUCUUUUCCCUCAAGAAAUCUCUUCAAGGAGUAAGUCAUCUUCAUAAUUUGCAGGAGGUUUUUUUUCAGAUGUUUCAUGUUAAAUAUUUCUUUAUUCUGAUAAUUUCCUUUAUAUUUAAGGUCGCUCUAGUUAGGGGCUCUGUGGUCUUCAUGGGGACCAAAAGUUAGUUUUGCUUAGAAAGUUUGAAAAACGUGGAAGUUACCCCUACAGAUGAACCAACCUGGGGGCACUGAUAGCCUUGAAAAUAUAAGUUGAUAUAAAAUUAUCAAGAGGAUUGAUAUCCACUUUAGAUGUUCAAAUCACAGCUUCCAUUGACUUCAGUAGCAGCUGUGAGUGCUCAACACUUCUGCCUAUCAGACCCAAGGUAUGUCAAGUUGGGCCCCCAGAAAAUGAGAAACACACAGUGUGACAGUCUCUAUCCCUAUGUUCACCCUUUUUACAAAACUAUGAUAAAUUUUGUACAAAAUGUACCUUGUGAGGUAUCAUUUGAAAACUCAUAAUUUGCUGAUCAUUAUUGUCCUGGUGAAGUGUGUGGCAACAUUGUAUGUAAAGUUAUAAAAUUCUACUGGCAUGACAUUGCUGAGAUGUGUUCCAAGUUUAGAAAAGCACGCACAAACCAGUUCCUGAGAGACAAAAGGCAAACUGACACCUCAGCCAGGUGUCAACAAAAUCAAAUGGACUGGCACCUGGUUAAGCAGCCAUUCUUUGGCAAGAAAAAGGGUGUGAGCAAGAAAUCUAUUUUUUGACAAAGAAACAGCUGGAGGCCCCCAGCACCACAGACUUGCUGUCUCCUGAAUGUCAGCUGGUGAUGAUUUUCAAAGUAUACGAAAGGGGAACAGAUGCUCCAAAAGUGCUGUCCCUUCAUCUCUACUCAUGCAUCGACAACACUUGAAGAACACAAGAAGCAUAAUUGGACUGGGGAGGGAUCCUGGCAGAAGAAAUUCAGCCAGUAAUAGUGCCCAAACAUGGUGAGAGAGACUUUUGCUUUGAAAUCACUUAGCUUGUUAAGUUAGGUGUGAGUUGCUUUUUACCUUUUAUUUCUUUGUAACCAGUUCCGACUUUUAUGUCUCAUUACCUGUAAUCACUUAAAAUCUAUCUUUCUGUAGUUAAUAAACUUGUUUCAUUGUUUUAUCUAAA
Caretta caretta (loggerhead turtle) is the source of this 4716-nucleotide long non-coding RNA. RefSeq lists it as uncharacterized. Lineage: Eukaryota; Metazoa; Chordata; Testudines; Cheloniidae. The record is from RefSeq and is a predicted model, not a curated record.